CUCACAAUACUUGUAUUUUUGUUUCACUUGUGGAAAAAAACUUAUAGUUAGGUGCAAAAAUUUAUCCUCUUUUGCAACUCAGAACACAUGAUUCAGUCUGUUUUGAUACAGACAUGAAGGAAUAUU
Molecule: small nucleolar RNA, 126 nt
Filed under: Castor canadensis (American beaver)
Lineage: Eukaryota; Metazoa; Chordata; Mammalia; Rodentia; Castoridae
Description: Small nucleolar RNA SNORA40 (ENSCCNG00000006696.1)
Rfam family: Small nucleolar RNA SNORA40
About the family: The snoRNA ACA 40 belongs to the H/ACA family of snoRNAs and guides the pseudouridylation of 28S rRNA subunit at position U4565. NB This family has a high threshold value to exclude a large number of closely related sequences that do not appear to have conserved H and ACA boxes, and may be pseudogenes.
Source: RNAcentral